RNAcentral lists this ribosomal RNA (659 nucleotides) under uncultured bacterium. RNAcentral describes it as "bacterial SSU rRNA". It matches the Rfam family "Bacterial small subunit ribosomal RNA", at positions 251 to 898 of the family's 1533-position model. The record is from RNAcentral.
GGCGGUGUAAAAGACCACCAAGGCGACGAUGGGUAGCAUGGUCUGAGAGGAUGGUCAGCCACACUGGGACUGAGAUACGGCCCAGACUCCUACGGGAGGCAGCAGUCGAGAGGCUUCGGCAAUGGGGGCAACCCUGACCGAGCGACGCCGCGUGGAGGAUGAAGGCCCUUGGGUUGUAAACUCCUUUUGUUAGGGAAGAAAUGCAAUCAGGUUAAUAAUCUGGUCGUUUGACGGUACCUGACGAAUAAGCUCCGGCUAACUCCGUGCCAGCAGCCGCGGUAACACGGGGGGAGCAAGCGUUGUUCGGAAUCACUGGGCGUAAAGGGCGUGUAGGCGGUCAGGUAAGUGGGACGUGAAAUGCCUCGGCUCACCCGAGGAGCGGCGUCCCAAACUGCUUGGCUUGAGUAUGGGAGAGGAUGUGGGAAUUCCUGGUGUAGCGGUGAAAUGCGUAGAUAUCAAGAGGAACACCGGUGGCCAAUGCUCACAUCUGGCCCAAUACUGACGCUGAGGCGCGAAAGCUAGGUGAGCUGACGGGAUUAGAUACCCCGGUAGUCCUAGCCGUAAACGGUGAUCACUAGGUGUUGGAGGCAUCGACCCCUCCAGUGCCGCAGCUAACGCAUUAAGUGAUCCGCCUGGGGAGUACGGCCGCAAUGGUUGAA